Long non-coding RNA from Dermochelys coriacea (leatherback sea turtle), 2973 nucleotides. RefSeq lists it as uncharacterized. NCBI's taxonomy places the organism in Eukaryota, Metazoa, Chordata, Testudines, Dermochelyidae. The transcript is spliced from 3 exons. The record is from RefSeq and is a predicted model, not a curated record.
UUGGAGAAGUUCUACGGCCUGUGUUAUGCAGGAGAUCAGACCAGACCAUCCCUUCUGGUCUUUGAAUUUAUGAAAAAAACAAUUUUUUACUUGUAUUGUUACUGUUGUUCUUAGAGAUGAGGUGCAGACAUGCAUUCCACAUAGGUAUACACCCACCCAGGCUAGACUCUCGCUGGUUAUAUAAGGAUAGCACUGACCAGACCCCCUCAGAUGUCAAGAGUAUAAAGUCUGAUGUAGAGGCGACAGAGAAUGGUUGUGGAAUACACACCUGCAACUCAGCUCAAAGAACAGUUACAAUAUAGGAAAGUAACCAUUUUUCUUCUUUGAAGAGAUGCAGCUAUGUUCCAUGUAGGCAGCUCACAAGCAGUACCCUUGAAUGACUUUACAGAUGGAGCACUGUUCCUUAAUGUACCGAGACACGAGCACCUUGGGUAGGGAUCACUAUUAGGGCUGGCCCCCACACACAACGACCAAUGCUUGAGCCUUGGUUAGGGAAUCACACAGGGCAGCCAACUACUCUAACUCUUAAACCUAAGGUACUACUAGCCAUCAUCUAGAGCAGUGGUUCCCAAACUUGUUCCUCUGCUUGUGCAGGGAAAGCCCCUGGCGGGCUGGGCCGGUUUGUUUACCUGCCGAGUCUGCAGGUUCGGCCGAUCGCGGCUCCCACUGGCCACGGUUCGCUGCUCCAGGCCAAUGGGAGCUGCUGGAAGCAGCACAGGCCGAGGGACAUACUGGCCACCGCUUCAGGGGUCUGAAAGAAGACUAUGUUCUGGAGGAGAAAGGGAGAGGAAGGAUCCUGGACUCCUUUGAAGACUCUGACCAUAUUCCAAAGAACACUCAAGAGUGGUGAGGAAAAUGAAGCAAGAAAUAGCAUAUUGGUGUUUAUUAUUUUGCAGGGAUCUGCAUAUCUCUUGUACAGUCUAAAGUAAAUUGAUUCGUUUUAAAUAUCCUUCUGCAAAGUCUGUGUCUACUGGCUUCACUGUCACAUGUCCCUGAAGGGAUAAACUAUAAACCAGCAUGCACGUAAGAGGAGUAAGGCUUUGCUUAAGCCACUGGGAGACCUGGAAGGUUCAGCACUGGUCUUGGGGUCUCACCUAGGGCAGCUGGGCCAUGGGGUCCCACUUCCAAAAAGGAUACUUGACUGAGUCUGGGACCAGCAAGCAUUCCAGAGGCCAGAGCCAGACAUAAUGUCUGAAGCCUACCGUGACUGGGCCUACCGUGACUCAAGGGAACUUGCAAGUACACAGGCCCAAUGUGCGAGUCCAAACACAGCAGCCUGGUGAGUGUUUAGCAAAGGGCUGCUUGACCAGGGCUGUGACACCAGGUCUCAGAGGCCCAAAUCUCAGCCACUUUUCCACACAAGUCUUUCAGGAGUAACACAGCAAAUUACAUGUUUCUGUAACCCACACUAAUAGCAUUAUUCUGUGUCACCCUCUAGGAGCUGAACCACAUAUAGGAAUGUACGACAUGAUACUGCUUUGAUACUAAGAGACAUGGCUCCUUUGCUCAAGUAAUAUAGGGCGAUACUUCAUCCACAGGUCCCAGAUUCAGUUCCCUGUAGAUUGCAGAAACAGAGUCAUUGUUACAUCUGCCUAUUCUGUCUGUAACCACUAGGCCACAGUCUGAUCCCAGAGCUGGGCAGAGAAACCAAGAAUUCUGAUGGUCAUUGUUCCACAGCUGUCUCUCAAAUAUUUAUGUCAUGUAUACUUCUGUAAAGUAACUAGCAGUGUGCAUGUCAUGCCUCCUGGUACAGGCUAGUCCACAGAGAACAACAGCAUGCUUUCUGCCCCUCUGCUUAUUCCUAUAGCAGACACUGAAGAUAUCUAUGCUCUAUGGCAGAGGUUCUCAAACUGGUCCGCAGACCAUAGUUCCUUUUAAGGCGCACCUGGGCAGCAGCACACAAGAGAAUGAAGAGCCACCCACCUAUUUAAUGGAGCCAUGGCAGGUGUGGCUCCACUUAUUAGGUGCCUGGACCCUGGAGAAGAUGCACAUGUAAGGAGCUGCUCCGUUAAGGGUUUGUGGCAGACAGAGAAGCUUGAAGGAGAUUUUGCCUGCGUUUCCAGAGAUUGGAAGAGGCUGCUUGCAUAAGCUACAAAAAGGUUACCGGUUUGGAUGCUACCCAGCUCAGAAAGGAUUAAAAAUUGUUCCCAUCUGAUGGAUGUUUGGUAGCCCCUGCAUGAGUAUGGCAAGUCGCAGUUCCAGUUCCCAAUAUCACCAUUACACUUUGAACUAGAUUGAUCCCUUGCGGGCAGGGCCUGGUUCUUACUAAGUGUUUGUACCUACCACUAUAGGGCCCAAAUCUAAGUGGGGUCCUCCAGCUAAACCUCCUGCAGUGGGGGCCAGUCACCUUGCUAUACAUUUGUGAGAGUUGGGAAGACUAAUGUCACAUGCACACAGGAGUCUGGGCAUGGGGAGUUCAAAAAAAAAAAAAAAAAAAUCAAAGGACAGACCAAAAAAACCAGGCCUUACAUUUUUUUUUUUUUUUUAAAAAGUCUCAAUUUCAGGGUCAAUCUCAGUUUUUUGGGGACAAACAUGUUAUUUUUGUAUGUGUGGGGUUGGCAGUGGUGCAAUUGGUUGUAAGCAGGGACAGGUCACUGUGAGAAGGUCAAAUGUCCUUUGUAAUCCUGCAAUAUUGUACGGCUUGUUGUGUAUGAAGUCUUUCACUUAUCGUUAUCACUAAAAAACCAACAAGAAGGGAGCAAAGAAAGAGGGCUAACUACACGGCACAGAUAACACUAACCCACUAAGUUGCAGAGCAGCACUGCUAACAGCCCACUGAUUCAACAUGGAACUAAGAAACAGAAAACAAAAUUUUAGAUGUGAAAGCAGUCACUGCAGAGCAUGCAAAAGUCAUGUUCACUGUAAUCUAGAAUAGGUUAUGUGGUUUGUUUGGGUUAUAGCCUUCUGUACAAUACAACGGCAACCAGGGUAUUUUUCAGUUCUGCCCCUCUAUUACUGCAUUUGCUUCCUGUU